UUACUGGUAGGUUAUUUUUAAACUGGCAAAUUGUGGUUUUGUUGAUUACAGUAUUUUCUUUUGUAUCAGUAAA
This 73-nucleotide transfer RNA is filed under the name Rhinebothroides sp. MZUSP 8017. RNAcentral describes it as "tRNA-His". The record is from RNAcentral. Lineage: Eukaryota; Metazoa; Platyhelminthes; Cestoda; Rhinebothriidea; Rhinebothriidae.